GAUGAACGCUGGCGGCGUGCCUAAUACAUGCAAGUCGAGCGAACAGACGAGGAGCUUGCUCCUCUGACGUUAGCGGCGGACGGGUGAGUAACACGUGGAUAACCUACCUAUAAGACUGGGAUAACUUCGGGAAACCGGAGCUAAUACCGGAUAAUAUAUUGAACCGCAUGGUUCAAUAGUGAAAGACGGUUUUGCUGUCACUUAUAGAUGGAUCCGCGCCGCAUUAGCUAGUUGGUAAGGUAACGGCUUACCAAGGCAACGAUGCGUAGCCGACCUGAGAGGGUGAUCGGCCACACUGGAACUGAGACACGGUCCAGACUCCUACGGGAGGCAGCAGUAGGGAAUCUUCCGCAAUGGGCGAAAGCCUGACGGAGCAACGCCGCGUGAGUGAUGAAGGUCUUCGGAUCGUAAAACUCUGUUAUUAGGGAAGAACAAAUGUGUAAGUAACUAUGCACGUCUGGACGGUACCUAAUCAGAAAGCAACGGCGAACUACGU
Molecule: ribosomal RNA, 496 nt
Filed under: uncultured bacterium
Lineage: Bacteria
Description: partial 16S ribosomal RNA
Rfam family: Bacterial small subunit ribosomal RNA
Source: RNAcentral